Molecule: ribosomal RNA, 494 nt
Filed under: uncultured bacterium
Lineage: Bacteria
Description: partial 16S ribosomal RNA
Rfam family: Bacterial small subunit ribosomal RNA
Source: RNAcentral
GACGAACGCUGGCGGCGCGCUUAACACAUGCAAGUCGAACGGAAAGGCCUGCUUUCCUUUGUGGAUUGCGGGUACUCGAGUGGCGAACGGGUGAGUAACACGUGAGUGAUCUGCCCCCAACUUGGGUAUAAGCCUGGGAAACUGGGUCUAAUUCCCGAUAGGACUGCAGGGUGGUGCCUGUGGUGGAAAACGAUUUUCUAGUGGUUGGGGAUGAGCUCGCGGCCUAUCAGCUUGUUGGUGGGGUAAUGGCCUACCAAGGCGGCGACGGGUAGCCGGCCUGAGAGGGUGGACGGCCACAUUGGGACUGAGAUACGGCCCAGACUCCUACGGGAGGCAGCAGUGGGGAAUAUUGCACAAUGGGUGGAAGCCUGAUGCAGCGACGCCGCGUGGGGGAUGACGGCCUUCGGGUUGUAAACUCCUUUCGACCGCGAGGAAGCCACCUGGUUGGAAGGGUGGUGACGGUAGUGGUAGAAGAAGCACCGGCUAACUACGUG